This 30-nucleotide non-coding RNA is filed under the name Mus musculus (house mouse). Lineage: Eukaryota; Metazoa; Chordata; Mammalia; Rodentia; Muridae. The record is from RNAcentral.
UACCUAGCAACAACAAGAAAAGCCCACCAU